UGACCAUCGUUGCUUC
RNAcentral lists this ribosomal RNA (16 nucleotides) under Exophiala equina. Its description in RNAcentral is "partial small subunit ribosomal RNA". Lineage: Eukaryota; Fungi; Ascomycota; Eurotiomycetes; Chaetothyriales; Herpotrichiellaceae. RNAcentral also lists the same sequence under 2 other names. The record is from RNAcentral.